AACGAACGCUGGCGGCAUGCCUAACACAUGCAAGUCGAACGAGACCUUCGGGUCUAGUGGCGCACGGGUGCGUAACGCGUCGGAACCUGCCCUUAGGCUCGGAAUAACUCCCCGACAGGGGUGCUAAUACCGGAUAACGUCUUCGGACCAAAGAUUUAUCGUCUUUGGAUGGGCCCGCGUUGGUUUAGCUUGUUGGUAGGGUAAAAGCCUACCACGGCGACGAUCCAUAGCUGGUCUGAGAGGAUGAUCAGCCACACUGAGACUAUGACACGGCCCAGACUCCUACGGGAGGCAGCAGUGGGGAAUAUUGGAAAAUGGGCGAAGGCCUGAUCCAGCAAUGCCGCGUGAGUGAUGAAGGCCUUAGGGUUGUAAAGCUCUUUUACCCGGGAUGAUAAUGACGGUACCGGGAGAAUAAGCUCCGGCUAACUCCGUG
RNAcentral lists this ribosomal RNA (433 nucleotides) under uncultured bacterium. RNAcentral describes it as "partial 16S ribosomal RNA". It matches the Rfam family "Bacterial small subunit ribosomal RNA", at positions 29 to 507 of the family's 1533-position model. The record is from RNAcentral.